GUCCCAGACUCCUACGGGAGGCAGCAGCGGGGAAUAUUGGGCAAUGGGCGCAGGCCUGACCCAGCAACGCCGCGUGAAGGAAGAAGGCUUUCGGGUUGUAAACUUCUUUUCUCGGGGACGAAGAAAGUGACGGUACCCGAGGAAUAAGCCACGGCUAACUACGUGCCAGCAGCCGCGGUAAUACGUAGGUGGCAAGCGUUAUCCGGAUUUAUUGGGUGUAAAGGGCGUGUAGGCGGGAGCGCAAGUCAGAUGUGAAAACUCAGGGCUCAACCCUGAGCCUGCAUUUGAAACUGUGUUUCUUGAGUGCUGGAGAGGCAAUCGGAAUUCCGUGUGUAGCAGUGAAAUGCGUAGAUAUACGGAGGAACACCAGUGGCGAAGGCGGAUUGCUGGACAGUAACUGACGCUGAGGCGCGAAAGCGUGGGGAGCAAACAGGAUUAGAUACCCUCGUA
RNAcentral lists this ribosomal RNA (450 nucleotides) under uncultured bacterium. RNAcentral describes it as "bacterial SSU rRNA". It matches the Rfam family "Bacterial small subunit ribosomal RNA", at positions 328 to 792 of the family's 1533-position model. The record is from RNAcentral.